RNAcentral lists this ribosomal RNA (505 nucleotides) under uncultured bacterium. Its description in RNAcentral is "partial 16S ribosomal RNA". It matches the Rfam family "Bacterial small subunit ribosomal RNA", at positions 28 to 507 of the family's 1533-position model. The record is from RNAcentral.
GACGAACGCUGGCGGCGUGCCUAAUACAUGCAAGUCGAACGCACAGUCUAUACCUUUGCUUGCUUCACCAUAGACUGUGAGUUGCGAACGGCUGAGUAACGCGUAGCUUACCUGCCUGGUAGCGUUGGAUAACUAUUGGAAACGAUAGCUAAUAUCUCAUAAUAUUAAUUAUUGCAUGAUAAUUAAUUGAAAUGUGCAAUUUCAUCACUACCUGAUGGCCCUGUGUUGUAUUAGCUAGUAGGUGAGGUAACGGCUCACCUAGGGGACGAUAGAUAGCCGACCUGGGAGGGGGGUAGGCCACACUGGGACUGGGACACGGCCCAGACUGCUACGGGGAGGAGCAGGAAGGAAACGUCGGGAAUGGACGGAAAGCUGAACGAACAACGCCGCGGGAGGGAAGAAGGUUGUCGGAUCGGAAAGCUCGGUUGUAAGGGGAGAAAGGGUGUGGGAAUGGAAAGUGCACACUGUGACGGUAUCUGACCAGAAAGCGACGGCUAACUACGUG